GUGCUCCCUUCAUCAGCGCAUAUGUUAAAACUGGAACAAUACAGAGAAGAUUAGCAUGGCUCCUGCAUAAGGAUGACGCACAAGUUCAUGAAGCUUUCCAUAUUUUU
Equus caballus (horse) is the source of this 107-nucleotide small nuclear RNA. The record is from Ensembl. Lineage: Eukaryota; Metazoa; Chordata; Mammalia; Perissodactyla; Equidae.